RNAcentral lists this ribosomal RNA (492 nucleotides) under uncultured bacterium. RNAcentral describes it as "partial 16S ribosomal RNA". It matches the Rfam family "Bacterial small subunit ribosomal RNA", at positions 30 to 507 of the family's 1533-position model. The record is from RNAcentral.
AUUGAACGCUGGCGGCAUGCUUUACACAUGCAAGUCGAACGGUAACAGGCCUUCGGGUGCUGACGAGUGGCGAACGGGUGAGUAAUGCAUCGGAACGUACCCAGAGGUGGGGGAUAACGCAGCGAAAGCUGUGCUAAUACCGCAUGUGAUCUGAGGAUGAAAGCGGGGGACCGAGCAGCAAUGUUUGGCCUCGCGCCUUUGGAGCGGCCGACGCCGGAUUAGCUAGUUGGUGGGGUAAAGGCGUACCAAGGCGACGAUCCGUAGCUGAUCUGAGAGGACGAUCGGCCACACUGGAACUGAGACACGGUCCAGACUCCGACGGGAGGCAGCAGUAGGGAAUCGUCCGCAAUGGGCGAAAGCCUGACGGAGCAACGCCGCGUGAGUGAUGAAGGUCUUCGGAUCGUAAAACUCUGUUAUUAGGGAAGAACAUAUGUGUAAGUAACUGUGCACAUCUUGACGGUACCUAAUCAGAAAGCCACGGCUAACUACGUG